UUUUGACAGCCUACAUGCGCCUUCCGUGGCCUUACUUUCCUAAUACAACGAUGGGAAUUGCUGUUUGAAAACAGGUGACUAGUUUACUGCCAGCGAAGAGGAAUGUCUGGAUUCUCCUCUAAGUCCUUUGCACAAACUGCAGAAGCUGUCUCAUCCCAUCCUGAUGAAGCCCAUGCCUCUGACCAGAUUCUUCUAGAACUCAAGCAUAGGCAUUAGCCAUGGGGAUUCCCUUUUGGCCAAGAACCAGAGUCCCA
This 254-nucleotide long non-coding RNA is filed under the name Rhinopithecus bieti (black snub-nosed monkey). RNAcentral describes it as "lncRNA (ENSRBIG00000046271.1)". The record is from RNAcentral. Lineage: Eukaryota; Metazoa; Chordata; Mammalia; Primates; Cercopithecidae.